Molecule: long non-coding RNA, 5737 nt
Filed under: Podarcis lilfordi (Lilford's wall lizard)
Lineage: Eukaryota; Metazoa; Chordata; Lepidosauria; Squamata; Lacertidae
Source: RNAcentral
GAGUAUAUUUGAACCUCUGAAACUUAAAUUUUAACCUAGCUCAGUGCUUGUAGCUGAUUGGGUGUUCUUGAGCAAGUUGCCACCCAAGGUGCUUCAGGUAUGGAAGAAAAGUCCUUCUAGAACAGACUAAGAGCCUUUCCAGUCCAGUAACCUGUUUACUACAGAGGCCGACCAACUACCUAUGGGAAGCCCAUAAGCAGGACAUGAGGGCAAUAGAAGGGCUGUGCUGCUAACCUGGCUUCCCAACACCAUGCAUUGCUGCUAAUUACUGAGAGAGAGAGGGGAAGUGGCAAGGCAGUAGGGACCUCAGUGCUGGUACAGUGCUGUUGUAUUGGCUCUGCCACUGCCUUGUCCCUCCUUCUCUAGGUAACUGACAGCAUGGUGUUGGGAAGCCAGGUCAGCAACAUAGCCCCACAAGCUGCUACUGGGACCAUCUAACACUCACAAUGUAAGCUUUUCACUUACCAAUAAAUGAAACCUUGACUGAAGGUGGAUAUUCAAAUAUUUUGACUAGACAUGCAUACAUACACAGAUGCAAAAGAAGAUAAUUUUGUGUGCUGGAAUGAUGCUAACCUUUGCUUAUCUAGGCCCACAGUUCACUCUUAAGAGGAAAUUGGGGGACGUUUUGUAGAUUUAAUUUAAAAAGUUAAGAAUUAGUGGCUUUCCUUGUGGCAGAUUACUUUAAUGGACGACAAACCUCCUUGUUAAAAUAAGUGACUUAAGUAUACAGCAUGGCAACAAAAUUUUAUUGACUUAAAUGAUGCCCAGAACUCGGUUGACCUGAUGGUUCAUGCCUUCUCUGUCUAAGUUUGGGUAUUUUAAAUAACUUCUAUGUAUCCAGUACAUGAACACAAAUAUUGUUCCAUAGCAAAAGUUGGAUUGUGCAGCAUAAUACAGUAUCUGGAAUCCAUUUUAAACAUGUUCAUACAGGAUGAUAUCACAAGCAUCUUAAAAUGUUCAACAUAUGGUAAACGUUUUCUACAUUCCUCACCCAGGGUGCAUGAAACUUUACAGCAUCUUGAUAAUUUCAGUAAAGGAACUAAAGAAAGAUUUAAAACCAUGAUUAAGAAAGCCCCCAAAAUGAGUAUCCAUUAACUUUGGACUUAUUUUCCCCUAAGAUCAUUAAAGACACGCACUGAAGAUACAGUAAACGUUUUUAUAGCUAAAAUGUUUUGAAGAUAGCACUUUACCGGUGCAGAAAUGUAGACAAAGCACCCACAAUUAGUCAUUAUGAUGACAAUCCUCUUUCAGCAAACACUUGCAUGUUGCACAAACAUCGAAAAAUUGGCAUACAAACUAAGUGAACAGAUGCAACUACUAAAGUAGCUACUCAAGCUUUUCCUAGUACUCUGUCAUGUUGAGCAAAGACCUUUUUUGUGAAUCGGAGUGCUGCCUCCUCCAUGUGAGAUGUAAGCAUUUCCAAGCCCUUCUGUACAUGUUGAGAAGCCAUUCAUCUUCCCUUUCUUAACACUUUGGCGCUAUGAGCAGUUCAUCUGAUUUCAUUUUCAACUUUGACACCACUUACUAUAAUUUAGAUUCCUCUGGGAAACCAACUCAUGUAUAAAUGGAUUCACACAUGCACACACACCACCUGAAAAACAGUCCAGGUGUUUCUUGUAUCAAGAUUUUGUUAUACUGUGAUUCAAACCUCCCAGGUAAAGCCGUUUUCACUCAUCAGAUUUCAUUUGGCAAUGUAUUCCAAACACCACGUCACUUCUGCUUUUUCUGAUCUGAAAAGUAACGUUGUCAUUCAUUGACAAGAUGUGUCAUUGGUUUUAAAUUUGUGAGACAAGAGUUAACCUUCAUUUCAGGAAAGUGUGUUAAACAGAGUACAAAUGCUUUCUUCUGCUGCCCAUCUCAAAUCAUCCCAUGGCACACAGUGGACCAUUGUUAGUGUGAGAAGUCAAGAUUCCUUUGGACAACUCCCUUCUCACCUUGGGAACAAAAAGUGAUGACUUACAUGACAAGAGAAGACUUAUGGUCCUUGAAAUAAAUGAUGAGAUAUGCCCUUUGGACUAAUCUUUCUUCAGGAGGACACUAAGUUAAACCACAUGUAGUGUUUUGUCUGACAGUUAUAAAGUAAUACAUUGUAAUCAUUAUCAACUGAUAUGCAACUAAAAAUAAAUCCACCCUGUUCAGUUCUUUGGAUGGUCAUUACUACAUUUUUGCCUAGGCUAUAAGCAAAAAUCACAAAUUCAAGUUCUCUAGGUGACCAGUUCUCACAUUUCAAAUAAGAUUUGAUAUACAAUAACCUUAAAGUGAUUACCUUAACAUAUAUAUAUAUAAAGUGUGGAAGAAUGCCCUUGGUUUCCUUCAUCCAUGUGUGAUAUACUUUUGCUUUCUUGCUUUUUCAGGUUUUCAUGUUGUUUUACCAUCCCAUUGGAAACAAUGGGACUUUAAAAUGUAAUAGAUAUAUUUGUAAUAGCAAUUCCUGCCCCCAACUGAAGUAAAUUAAAACUUCAUUAUUUUAACACACUAGAACAGGGGUCUGCAACCCGCGGCUCCGGAGCCGCAUGUGGCUCUUUUACACCUUUGCCGCAGCUCCGGAGCGGAUACUAGUGAGGGGAGGAGGCGCAUUGUGCGCCCCGACACUCCCCACUGUGGCGGGCGCUGUACUGGCUGUGACGUCGCAUGGUGACGGUGCGUGCGUUAGUCACGCACCGUCCCGACGUCACCUUCCCGCCCGCCCGCUACAUUGUAAGGGGCAUGUACGCUGGUCACUGUUUUGAAGGGGAGUGAAGAACACAUACACAAAAAAAGGUAACUUGUUAAUUUAACAUUUAUUUCUAUGAGGAGGAGUAAUUCUGAGGGGUCAAACAAAGAAAUAAUAAAAAAGUGACAAAAAAGUUAUUUUUAUAAUGACGAGUUUUGCGGCUCCCAGUUUUUUUUUCUUCGGAAACGGGUCCAAGUGGCUCUUUUUGUCUUAAAGGUUGCAGACCCCUGCACUAGAACAUGUCAAAUCCUGUUGGAAAACUCCAUGUGGUAUGCUAAGAUGGAAGCAUGAUUAUCAUGCUGAAUUAAUAGUUUAAACAAAUAUUAUUUGUCGACAAAUAAAAAAAAUACAAAAGACAUGAAGUUUAACCUUAAGUAAUAAUACAAGUAAUGAUGUAAAGUUGUCUGAGACACCCAUAUGGGCUAUGAAAGAGCCGAGGAAAAUAUUACUGCAAAAUGUGACAAGAAGCAACUAAAUGACUUUGCAGUACCUACUAUUCCAAGGUUCUGUGCCAGAAAAUAAAGGAAACAGGUAAUUUAAUACAAAGAACAAAUCUGGGGAUAAACCAACCAAAACAAAAUUUAUUUCUAUAGUAGCAUUCACAUUGUGAGAUCAGGAAAAGGGUUUAAAAGGUAUUGUAAAGAAGUCAGCCAACCUCUACAAGGCAUCCAGCAUAGCAGACAACUCUGAUACUUAAUAUAUUUUUUUCCAAACAAAAACUUCUCUUAAGGAUAUAAAAUGGGUUUGCCUACCUCAUCUGUUUAGGAAAAGUAUCACUGUGUUUCCUGAAAACCAAUAAUUUGGUCAUGAUGUCAAGAAAGCUUGAGGAAACACAAGCAUUUUCAAGUGAAAUGAGGUAGAAUAGCGGGUGGGGGGAGAGGUGGCUUGCUUCUAAUGUUUCAAGGACCAAUGAAGCUCUAUGGCAGAGCACAUGAUUUGCAGGUUCAUUUCCUGGCAUCUUCUGUUUAAAGUUCUCAAAUAGCAUGGCUCUAAAAGACCUCUGUCCAAGACUCUGGAAAACUGCUCUCUGUCAUUGUUGACGGUAGUGGGCUAUACGUACUAUUUGUUUUAUUCAAACUAAGACGCUUCUUUUUAUCCUAGUGUGGCAUAGAUGGAAGGAACAAAUUUAAAAGUACCAACAGCAGGGAAACAUUUGCAAUAGGUAUUUCUUACUAAGACCCAAAGUGUAAAAUGUUUUGUGCCUGGAUAUUAUCUACAGGUGGAUGCUUGUGGAAUCCCAACAGACUACCAACCACAGCAAAGAAAAGCAGUGCCCCUACACCACUUCUAGGGCUUAUCUUUCAGGAAUGAACAAAGUCAUGCUAAUAUUGUGCGCUCAAUUCACAUUCAUUCAAGGCAGUCCAAAGUGACACCAUGACUGACAGAGGGGCCAGAAAACCAACCUAUCCAUAUGAUGUCAGGCAUGGGAAAAUUCAAGUUAUGGCUAAGAUCAGAGAUAAGCUUCUGCUUGCUCUUUAAAAGGCAGCAGAUAGAUUACUUCCAAUCCCGGUGAUUUGAAAUAACGCGUCAUCUGAAAGAUGGGGUGAGGGCAGAGAAAGAGAGAGGAAGGAUGAGGAAAGACUGCAGUUCAGUGGUUCAGUAUACAUUCAUAGGCAGAAGUUCCAAGGUUCAAUCCCUGGUAUUUCCAGACUGGGCUGGGAAAGACUUCUGUCUGGCCAGGAGAGCUGCUGCCAGUGUCACUCGUAGUUAAUCAGAUGGAUCGAUGGUCUGAUUCAGUUUAAGGUAGCUUCCUAUGUUUGCUCUGCCUUUCCUAUAUGGCAUCCUGAGUCAUAACCAACUAGAUAUCUGGUUACUACUCUAUGAAUUGCCCCAUUCUUGUGGAAGACUCCUUUCCCACCAAUCUGCAGCAACCUCUGCUCCCUAUAGACAUUAAUUAUAAGGUAAAUGGUGGGAAACAAAAGGAUAAGAGGUUUCUGCUCAAGAGCUGGCAGUACCAAGUAACUGGGUACGAAAAGGAGGACAGAUUGUAAAUUCUAAUGUGAAGAGCACAGCCUCAGAUGCUACAGGAAGUGAGUAUACCUCCAGUAUACCUUACAUCAGUUUUCAAAGCUUGCCUACUUCUACACCAACAGAUGAUGGUCUACAAAAGAUAGCAUUUGCCUAUUUUGUAUCUAUUGAGUUCAUUAAUAUAUUAAUCGUAUGCUUCAGUGUGAGUGGCAUUUAUUCCUAGUCUUUUUGACAGAGUUUGCCCCACCAAAAGAACUCAGACACGUUUGUGAAAUAUUCAGUAACCUUCACAUGGUAAACAAAGUAUGUACUCUUUUUUAAAAAUAUAUUUUUAUUAGUUUUUAUAUAUAUUUUCCAAACAAAACAUAACAUCUCCUCUCAUCUUAUACAACAUUUUGGCUAUAAGCCUAGGACUUCCAUCAACCACAUCUAAUGAUUUUCAACCUUCAUCACGUAGCCUUGCAUUUCAUUAUUUUCACUAUUACUUUUAAUAGUCCAUAACUUAAAAUCCAUUCUCAUAAAUUUCCCCUGCAAUAUUUCAUAUAGUUCUCCCUACAAAACUUCUUGUAAUCCUACAAGCGUAGUCAAUUGAUUACAAUUGUUUUUCAAAUAGUUUGCAUAUUUACUCCAAUCUUUCAAGAAUUUCUGGUCCUGCCAGUUUCGAAUUCUCACUGUCAUCUUAUCCAGUUUUUCCUGCUUCCAUUUCUGUGCCAGUAAUACUCUUGCUGCCGUUUUCGCAUAUAAAAACAAUUUAUCUUGUCUAACAAAGGAUGUAUUCAUAUCAGAGAUGUAUCAGAACAUCAUAUGCAGAAGGUGCCUGGAUAUAUGCCAUAUUGAUUAUAAGAUAGGAUUUAUUACCUUGGUGGUGGUGGGGAGAACAUAAAAGUAAGGUGUUGUCAGUCAGAUGGAUGAGUUUAAUCCCAUUGGUACCUGAUUAGCACCGUGAACAUGUGCUCCGAAAAUGAAACACUUGCAAGCCGCAACAGGUGAGCCCUUGAUUUUUAUCUCUGUAAUUUCUUUUUUAAAAAAAUAAUAUUUAUUACUUUUAUAGAUUAC